This is a long non-coding RNA of Manduca sexta (tobacco hornworm), 917 nucleotides long. RefSeq lists it as uncharacterized. The record is from RefSeq and is a predicted model, not a curated record. The transcript is spliced from 2 exons. Lineage: Eukaryota; Metazoa; Arthropoda; Insecta; Lepidoptera; Sphingidae.
AAUGUAAAGCCAGUAUGAAAAAAUGGUAUACUUUGUGGAUAUAAAAUUAAGUAAAGAUGGAGUAAUUGAAGAAUGCCAUUGCGAUUGUGCUGCAGGCAGUGGUACUCAAGCAUGUUGCAAACAUGUCUCUGUAUUGUUGGAUGACAUGUGAACCCGCUAAAAUCCACAUGGCAUUGAAUGGGAUCGUUACACCUAUGUAGAUAGGACUCCAAUAGAUAUUUUACUAGAGAAGCUAUUAUUAAAAAUAUUAUAUCUGAACAAAUUCAGGAAGUGAGAAGAAUACAAGAGCCCAAAGUGAUUCCUCUGAGUGGCAUGAAAGAUCAUGCAGGAUUACUGCCAGUAUGUUUCAUUUAGUGUGCCACAGUAAAGCAUAUAAGUACCAAAAAUAUAUGUAAUCGAUAUGAUUUUGGCCCCUAAAGCUGUGCAGACUAUGUUAGUUGUGCAUAGUAAAAUCCAAGAAACUAUUUCCAUUGCCAAAUAUGAUAGAGAUUAUGGACUAAAAAUAAAAAAAGUGGAUUCAUUAUAUCAUUUGAAUAUCCUUUUCUGGCUGUUUCUCCAGACGGUAUAUUGGGUAAAGAUACUAUUGUUGAGGUUAAGUGUCCAUAUGCUGCUAGAUAUUAUAAAAUAACCUCUGUGACUGUGCCUUACUUAAAAUACUUAAUGGAGAAUUACAUUUAAAAAGCAGCAUCCAUAUUAUGCCCAAAUCCAAGGCCAACUUUAUUGUUCGGGACGCAAUAUUGCAAUUUUAUUGUUUACACAUUUGAGGAUAUGAAAAUAAUAUUCAUUAAUAGAGAUGACUCAUUUAUUAAUGGCAUGUUGACAAAUUUGUUAAACUUUUAUGUACAUAAUUUAGAACCAGAAAUGUAAAUAAGUAUGUGUAUAAGAACUAUUUACAAUUAAUAAAUAAAUUGAAAUAA